UAACCAUGAGUAAAGUGGCGCACGGGUGAGUAACACGUGACUAACCUACCCUGGAGUGGGGGAUAACUGAGGGAAACCUUAGCUAAUACCGCAUAACACCUACGGGUCAAAGGAGCAAUUCGCUUUAGGAGGGGGUCGCGGCAGAUUAGCUAGUUGGCGGGGUAAUGGCCCACCAAGGCGGUGAUCUGUAUCCGGCCUGAGAGGGCGCACGGACACACUGGAACUGAAACACGGUCCAG
This 239-nucleotide ribosomal RNA is filed under the name uncultured bacterium. Its description in RNAcentral is "partial 16S ribosomal RNA". It matches the Rfam family "Bacterial small subunit ribosomal RNA", at positions 81 to 334 of the family's 1533-position model. The record is from RNAcentral.